AAUCAACGCUGGCGGCGUGCCUCAGACAUGCAAGUCGAACGCGAAAGUUUCCUUCGGGAAGCGAGUAGAGUGGCGUCCGGGUGAGUAACACGUAGGUAAUCUACCUUUGGGUGGGGAAUAACAACCGGAAACGGUUGCUAAUACCGCAUAAUGCAGCGGCACCACAUGGUGACAGUUGUUAAAGCGGGGGAUCGCAAGACCUCGCGCCUAAAGAGGAGCCUGCGGCGGAUUAGCUAGNGGUAAGGUAACGGCUUACCAAGGCAACGAUCCGUAGCCGGCCUGAGAGGGCGGUCGGCCACACUGACACUGAAAUACGGGUCAGACUCCUACGGGAGGCAGCAGUCGGGAAUUUUGGGCAAUGGGCGAAAGCCUGACCCAGCAACGCCGCGUGAAGGAUGAAAAUCCCUCGGGAUGUAAAACUUCGCAAGAACAGGAAGAAUAAGUAAGGGGACAAUACCCCCUAUGAUGACGGUACUGUUUGUAAGCUCCGGCUAACUCCGUGCCAGCCGCCGCAGUAAU
RNAcentral lists this ribosomal RNA (519 nucleotides) under uncultured bacterium. RNAcentral's name for it is "bacterial SSU rRNA". It matches the Rfam family "Bacterial small subunit ribosomal RNA", at positions 32 to 524 of the family's 1533-position model. The record is from RNAcentral.